GGGAAUGUGGCUUAGUGGUAGAGUGCUUGCCUAACAUGCAUGAUACCCUAGAUUCAAUUCCUCAGUACCA
Molecule: non-coding RNA, 70 nt
Organism: Dipodomys ordii (Ord's kangaroo rat)
Lineage: Eukaryota; Metazoa; Chordata; Mammalia; Rodentia; Heteromyidae
Source: Rfam